GGCCUGUGUUUUAACUCACGAGGUUUUUUGUGUUUUAUUUCCAAUUUAUAUUUUUUGGUGUGAGACAACACCGCCAUGUGGCAUCUCUGUUGAAAAGUUAACCUAAAAUCAUAUUAGGCCUACUCAGGUCCUAACAAUAACAAUAUAGGCACUUUCAAGUAUUUUUAUGGGUGUGAUACACGUUUGUUUAUAACGAUGUUUAUAAACUUUAUGAUAGGUUUAACUAUAACAUAAGGGAGUGAUUUUAUAAUUUGCAUUUAAUUAGUUUUUCAUCUGUUUGGGAGAUCACAAAAUAAAUGAAAAAACACUUCAUUAAUUUCGUGGACAAAGUCUGUCAUGUUUCCAUUUAGUGACCACAAAGCAAAUAUUUGUGACAAAAUGCCAUAUUUGGAACACUGCCUAACUGCGUAUUGUGAACGGGUCCCCGGAAAAGUGUUAUGACAAAUGUUUUUUUUUUUUGGUUAGGUACUACAAGAAAGACAUUGAAGAAGUUUCAACACCAGGAAAAAAGAGGAAAAAAAAGGCCACAGGAAGGAAAGUCACUUGACACAGUCGACGAUUUCACAGUAAAUGCAAUCAGGAAUGCAAUUUACAGGAUGUACGCUGAAGGUUUGAAUGUUACAGUCGACACCAUUUUGAAAGAAAUCAGGGAAAGACAAAUAGAUUAUUAUGGUGGAAGAUCAAGUCUUCAUAAAUUGUUAAAGAAGAUGGGAUUUUCAUGGACAACUGUUGAUGGACGAAAAGCUUUGAUAGAGAAUGAAAACAUAGUAUUGCAGCGAAUAGAUUUCUUGAGAAAGUAUAAAGAAGAAAAAGAAAGAGGAACUGUAUCAAAGUCAUGGCAGGACAAGAGUCUACAAUCUGCGAAGAGACGUACUGUUGGAGAUGGUAAUAGGUUUAUUGUUGU
Bacillus rossius redtenbacheri is the source of this 904-nucleotide long non-coding RNA. RefSeq lists it as uncharacterized. NCBI's taxonomy places the organism in Eukaryota, Metazoa, Arthropoda, Insecta, Phasmatodea, Bacillidae. The transcript has 3 exons. The record is from RefSeq and is a predicted model, not a curated record.